This 253-nucleotide ribosomal RNA is filed under the name uncultured bacterium. Its description in RNAcentral is "partial 16S ribosomal RNA". It matches the Rfam family "Bacterial small subunit ribosomal RNA", at positions 524 to 776 of the family's 1533-position model. The record is from RNAcentral.
UACGGGGGGUGCAAGCGUUGUCCGGAUUUAUUGGGCGUAAAGAGCUCGUAGGUGGCUUGUUGCGUCUGCCGUGAAAGCCCGUGGCUUAACUACGGGUCUGCGGUGGAUACGGGCAGGCUAGAGGCUGGUAGGGGCAAGCGGAAUUCCUGGUGUAGCGGUGAAAUGCGCAGAUAUCAGGAGGAACACCGGUGGCGAAGGCGGCUUGCUGGGCCAGUUCUGACGCUGAGGAGCGAAAGCGUGGGGAGCGAACAGG